Podarcis lilfordi (Lilford's wall lizard) is the source of this 16549-nucleotide non-coding RNA. The record is from the annotation of a GenBank genome assembly. NCBI's taxonomy places the organism in Eukaryota, Metazoa, Chordata, Lepidosauria, Squamata, Lacertidae.
GCAAGCAAGCUCUGGGCAAGCAUUUUCUCUAUCAGGAGUUCUCUGUUGAGGGACACAUGCUGGUGAUGGGUGAGGCCAGUAGUGAGCAGGAUGAUCCCUCCCCCCAUUAUAUAAAAUAAAGGGGAAAGAGGGGCAUCAGUUAGUCAAAUAUGAGCAUGUUUUGGGAGGAUCAUCUGUACAGAAUUGCUAAAUUUAACAUGAAAAGAGAAUUCAUUAUGGGCCAGAUUUAAUGUCAUCAGUGACCUCACAGAGAAUGUAUAUGUAUCCUUUAAAGAGGCAAGUUCUAUCUUCACCAAAAGGAUUCUUCUCCCAGUAGUUGGCUUGUUAGUAGUGCUUUUUUGCUGUCAGAGAAACAUGCAGAACCCUUAAUUCCUGUCAGUUGAGGAUGAAAUUGUUUCAACCUGCUGUUCUUUUUCUCUAAGUGUAUCUGCUGUAGUAGAGACCAUAACCUAUGGUGGCCUCUUCUCUCCCCCUGCCCCAUAAUUUAAGCCACAGCAAGCAAUACAUUCCUUUGUGGAUUUUAUCAACACAAAUUCUUCAAAAUUAAAUUAGAAUCUUUUUUUUUUUUUUUUUUGGUAUCCUUCAGAGUUGUUUAUUCUGAACUCCAUAAAAUGGAGAAAUUAGUCCUCCUUUCAGAAUAUGUUAGUACUCUUCAUUUCAGGUUAACUUAGAGUACAGUAUUGACAUGCAUUGUUUCCUUUGGAAUUUGCAUGCUGUGUGGCGCCAGCUGGCAGGAAUUAAAAGCUGCUAUUCUCUAAUAGAAAAUAAUGGCAAGUAGAAAUGACAUAUCCCAUAACCCUAAUUAUUCUGAGAGAGCUUGGAUGAUGUGCUUAUUGCAAGAGUAGAAUCCUGCAGUGGUGUAGGCUAAAUUACCCAUAUUUCUGGUUUUACAGAUGAAAAAGACAAGCAGAAAGAGAGAGAUCUAUAGAAUCCACACUUUCUGAUAUUCCUAGGUUAUUUGACCUGGUAAUGGUACUGUUGGAAACUUCACACUGCUGUGAAAUUCAUUUGAACCCACUUGAACUAGUCGGAUGCCCCUUUUGAUGUGAGUGGGUAUGCAUAUAGGAAGCUGCAUUAUUCUAACUCACACUAUUUGCUGAUCUAGUCCAGUGUUAUCUGCUCCAACUGGCUUCAGUUCUCCAAACUCUUGGGCUACCUGCUACCUGAUUCUUUUAACUGAGAUGCCAGGGAUUGAACCUGGAGCCUUCUGCAUGCAAACCGUGCGCACUGUCGCUCUGAUCUACUAUCCUACUUUUGUAUUUAGGACUACCAGUGGCUCUGAGUGACUAAUUGCCUAUGACUGCAGCUGGAUAAGGGAAUUAUUUUUACACGUAAAAUAUUUUUUACAUGGGAAAAGGAAUUCAUUCUUAUUUAGAUAUAUACCCUCACAUUCACCAUGGUGUAGAGGACCUAUAAAUUUCAUGCUGUGUCUGCGUUUCCUAAGAGUGUGCAACAGUUACAUGUUUCUCUUGCCAAGACCAUAGGUUUAUAUAUAUAUUUUAAUAAUACUUUUGUUUCUCUUUGCAUUCCAAACAGCAAAAACAGCGGAUGAGUGUAGACAUAGUUUGCCCACCAGUGCUAUGACUGCAGUUUGGUAAUGAAGAUGAAAUGAUUGUAAUGAUGACCUUUCUGUGCCUUUGUCUGUACAAUGCCCUUCUCUUUAACUGAACACCUUUCAAAUGAACACAUUCUGAACUCUUGAACUGCUCAUUCUGUUCACUGAGCGUAUUGCUCAAUCUGCACUUUAUCAUGAUGUGUCUCCAAAGACUCUGUUUCCUUACAUUUGAUGUCUAGAUGAGGUUUUUUUCAGAAUCCUUCAGUAGUCAGAAAUUGGGCUGUUAAGGGACCACAUUAAUCUGUGCCAUGAAAUCCUAAAUUAGGGACUCUUUGUAAAUAGUUUUCAAACCAUUAAAUAGACCUUAACAUAUAUACUGCACAACUCAAGUCUUAUUUGUCCAUCCUCUUUGGAUAAAGUACUUCACAAUUUCUAUUUGCCACAUAUUAUGCUCCCUUCUGGUUAUUUAGAAUGUCCCAGACAGGUGUCUUUAUUGAAAGGUUCAACAGAAGCAUAAAAAAUUAUAGAAUAUUUAUGCGUCUCUCAUCAUAUUUGAACAGGCAUUGGGAAAAGUUGCUUAUGGCUGGGAAUACUUCUCCCAGCUUGAUUCAGAAUUACCUCUGCUGAAAAGAACUCAUUUGGUUUUGAUCGUAUUUGUGUGGUUAAGCACAUGCCUUGCAUGAAAAAGGUUUCAGGUUCAAUCCCUGGGAUCUCAUCUCCAAGUAUGGUUGGGGAAGGACUCCUGCCUGAAGUCUUUGAAAGUCAAGCAGUGUCAACACGACUGAACUAGAUGGACCAAUGAUCUUAUUCAGUAUAGGGAAGCUUCCUAUGCUCCACUAUUAUUAAUUGGCAUGUUUUAAGCUUGGCUCCUUUACCAACCACAGCUGCAGUUGGACUCCGAAUGAUGGGAACACAAGAACACAGCAAUGCUUAGAGACCUUGCAGCUCAGUUACAGUUCUCCCUGUUCCUGCUUCUAUUGUCCCCAAAAUGAGUCUGGUGGUUGAUAAGAAUACAGUGGUACCUCUGGUUGCAAACGGGAUCCGUUCCGAAGGCCCGUUCGCAACAUGAAAAGAACGCAACCCGUGUCUGUGUGUCUGCGCAUGUGCCGGUUGCGAUUUGCCGCUUCUGUGCAUGCGCGAGCGGCGAAACCCGGAAGUAACCCUUUCCGGUACUUCUGGGUCGCCGCAGGAUGUAUCCUGAAAGAAUGUAACAGGAACUGGAUGUAACAUGAGAUAUGACUGUAGUUUCUGUGCAGAUUUUGUUAGGCAUUGAAAUGGAUGUGGAACAUUUUUGGUCCAGUAUGGUGAAUCUGUUCAGAACUCUGUUCUGUAUGUGUUCAGAACUCAGUGGGUCAGCUUUGGCAGGUACAUGAGAUGACCUGCCUGUUAAUCACCAAAUGUAUUUCUGUUUGACAGGUGGGUUGUCACAACUAGCUAAACAUCAUUGCUUGGUACUUCCCCAGCACCUGACUGAAAGCAAUAACUCUUCUUAUUGGUAUCAUUGCUGCCAUGUUAGUUUCAGCAAGAAAGUGAAGGGAUGGAUAUUGUAGAAGUGGAGGGCUGCUUAAUCCUGAGUGUUGACAGAGUUUGGGCUUGGCUUGUAAUUAUCCCAGAAGCUCCUAACUAUGGAAAUUUCUUCUUAGAACGGUCUGAUACUGAACAUUAUUUAAUCACUACAAAUUAUUGAAUUAGUGAUUUAGGGCUGUGUUUCCAAACCUUUCUGGAAAAAUCCAGGUUUUUAAUUGUCCAAAGCAAUGCUGACUGGGAUAGGUCCUCUUCACCAUCAUCAGUCUUUUCAACUGCGUACCUUUUCUCCACCUCUUCCUUCUUUUUCCCCAACUUACUAUGUUGUGAGAACAGGGAGACAAAAAUGAAAGAAGCUGAAAAGACUGGGCAAUACCUCUCUUAUGAUUCUGAUUUUCUUGAAUUAAGGCUUUUGAGUAGCACAAACAAAUCUCAGUCUCUUUCCAUUAUCUGUUGCUUUUAAACAGAGGUGAGGGGAAUCAUUCCGUCUUUUCAAGAGUCAUACUUGAGCUUCCCCUCUCCCUCCGUUCUUCAUUUCAGAUCACACAAAGUUUCAAUUUUUGCUUGUUAAUAUCAAUAUUACGCCAACGUCCCUUCCUCACUUGUAAAUAUAUUUUGGUCUUGUAUUCCGGAGAGAGUUGUCAAAUCAUAAAUAUAUAAAAGAAACUUAGAAUAAACAAACCAUGGUCUUCCCUCUCCCCAACCAAAUCUCAUGCCGAAUAAAAACUUAUCUCAGUUCAAACCUUUGAUCCAUGUAGCUUAUAUGCAGUAUGUUGCUGCAACCCUCAUGCACCCUCAUGCACUGGUACUUUAAUGUCAACUGAAAAUUAAAUUAAAUGGAGAACUUCUGCUUCUUAAUGGCAGUGUAGGAGGGUUUUCACCAGGCGAAGCACUUUUGUACUCAGCACCCCCCUGCCUCCCACAUUCCAUGCCAGAGGGGGAGCCAGGUACCGAGACAAACUGUGAGUGAAGCCAAUUUUCCCGACCCUGGGGGGAAUUUGCAAGGAUGAUUUACUCUCUGUCAUCCUUGUUUUUCAUUCGCCAAUGAUUCCCCGCUGUUGUGGGGGCUGCUUCCAUUAAGACAGGCAGAAUCUUGGGGGCUGCUUCCAUUAAGACAGGCACCAGAAGCCUAAAAUGAAAAAAAAUAAAGUAAAAGUUUGUUAUUGUCAACCCAAGAUUCUUCUUACAUGUUAGACUUCUUCCUUAAUGAACAGGCUCAGAGUUUUAUGUUAUUUUCAUCAUAUUUAAUAUGCCUUUAUUGUUCCUAGUGUUGGACUGUUGCAGAACUACACAUGUGCUAUGUAAAUGUAUUGUUAGACAUUUAUACUGAACCACAUACCAAUAUCACUGGGACACAGAGCAGACAAUCCAUUAUCCAGCAAAUACACCUUUGCUUGCAUUGGGUGGGCGUGCUGGGGAGACUCUGUGACUGUAGCUAUUUCAGGUUCAGAAGCCAUUUAGAGCUCAGGUGACAGGAGAUUGGAAAUUACUUUGAAGGCCUGUUUAAAAGACAGUUUGCAUUGUUGCAUUUAACUCCUUAUAUACAGUUUGACUUUCAGGGGACACUUUUCAUAACUCUUCUUCCUUUGAUGUGGUGCUAUGAGUAUCUCUGCCAGUAGUCAAAUAGGUUAUACAGUGUGUGGAACAUUUAUCGGAAGGAAAUUCUGUGAGAUCAGAUUGUAUAUCAUGCCAAUAACUCUAUCUGAUUUUCAAAUGUAUAAAGUUUCUCAGCAUUGCAAUUUAAUCUUUUCCUCAAGAGGGUAGAGGUUAAAGUAAAGUAUAAUAUGUAUAUGUGUUGAUAUAUUCGAUGAAGAUAAAGAACAAUCUCUGGACCCAGACCUGUAAAUAACUUUACAUUAUUUUUAAUGUGUGUAAGUGAAAGAAGCAGCUGGCAAGUCAAUCCCCAUCACUUCCUGAUGAUAAAGCUCUGUGCAAAUGCUACCUUUGUUUAAAGCCAUAUUAAUUUAGCUUCAGUCACACAGAAAGGUAAUAGUUUUCUAGGAUUUAGACUAACAACUUCCCACUGUAAAGCAUAAUGUGAUUUAUAGGCUCCAUCUGCCUCCAUAAAGGAACUCCUCCCCCCAUCUCAGCAUCUGCAUCUUAUUUUGCACCUGAAUCAUAAUGAGUAAGAAUUCUGAGAUGAGUUUACAUUCAGUAGUGCUGUUCUAUUUAUACGUCAAUGCUGUUUAUUAUAACAUAAAUCCACAUCCAAUAUUUACUGUUAGCCGUGCAAGAAAAUUAACUUUCCUGUGUGCAUUUGUGUACAGUAAUGCACAAUCUGAAAAGCGACUGGUAGGCCCUACUAAUGUGUGGCAACAUCCUUCACCUGUUGGUAGUGUGUGAUUUACCAUGAUUUCACUUUGCUAAAUGUGAGCACGUGUGCUUUUCUUAUGCCAACAUGGUAGCAUAUGUAUACCCUUUCUGAUUUUAUAAUGUUGUCUGCUGAUACCAAGCAGAACUGCUUGCAAAGUAUACUCAUCUAAGUUAUUUUGUAAGUUCAUUAACUAUCUGAUCUUGCAAGCUGAAUUUUGGCACUUUUUUGUUUAUAUUAAAGCAGGGGUAGCAACAAGGUGUCCUCCAGAAGUUGUGGAUUGCAACUCCCAUAAGCCAUAGCUAGCAUAGGCAAUGGCCAGGGGAGAUGGAAAUUGUAGUCCAAAACAUCUGGAGGGCACCAUGUUGGCUAUCCCUGUAUAAAAGCAUUAAAAUAUAAAUACGCAAAAUUAAAAGUUAUAUGAAAAGAUGUAUAAAUAAAAACAAAACAAGAGUAUGUUUAAAGAUAAUAUUUACAGACAUACGGAUUUACAUUACGCUGAAACUUAAUAUUGCAGUAAUUAAUAAACAGUACCCAGUACUUUUUUAUUUUUAGGACUUGAGAAAGCCUGAGCUGCAAAUUAGAGCAAAAUUCUUUAAGAUACUUCUGUUGCAUUGCAAAUAUAUCUUACUCUGCUUUGAGAAGACAGGAAGGCGAGAAGUUGAUGCCAAAAUCUACACCAUUUGAAAUUUUGAAGGUUGUUAGAGAAAUCACCAGUGCAUCUUAAUUCCAUUGAUUUCAAUUAGUCUACUCUGAACUAGCAUUAGAUAUCACACCUAAUGUUUAGUUAAAUGGGUAAUCUGAUUUUCAAUUCAGCUGUCUAGUUAUUAGAAUUACAUUAACUUGGGGGGGGGGGGCUGUUUAUCCAAUUUUGCUGCUGCCUGCAUGCUGGUGUAUCUAAGGCCAAAUAUAAAGAUUUGCAAGAGCCAAAGAAGAAAGACAGUAAGCACUAAAUGCAAUGGAUACUAGUUCAUAUGAGAAACAUCAGGAGGAGCUUUAUGGUAUUUGAAUCAGGAACCUUUGAUUCUGUGUGUGCUACCUUGUGUAAAAAGGCCAUUGCAUUGUUGAUUGCGUUAUCUCCCUAUGCAAGCAAAUACUCUCAUGCCCAAGGCUGGACCUGCCCACCCAGGCAGGCCAUUUGACCUUAAAAUCCCAAAAUUUAAAAUUCCCAAACAGCUUGACCCUCACAUAAUGGAACAUAGUUGCUCAUACAAAAUAGAUUUGAACAGCAAGGGGAUGAAUAGUGAGCAGGCGUUUCAUGUUUGUAGAAUGUUGUUCACCUGGCAAACUCAAAGCUCAGACAUCUUAUAGAAGGAAAAGUUUUAUUAUUUGGGCUAGAUUUUUGUGGCUGAGACUACACAGAUGAUCGGAUGUGUUAGGAGUUUUUUAGUAGCUCUAGGAGUUCUAUAUUGUCCAUUUUUAAAAAAUGGCUAUAUUAACCUAUAUUGUAAGUUAUAGUGAUAAGUCUUUAGAAUAAAACACACUAGAAAUUAAAACCAUUUGAAAUUUGUUAAUAGACUGUCUUUUGUGAAUCCUUGGGUUUAUUUUCUAAACAAAAUCUAUACAAGUAUGAUAGUCCCCCUCCUCUCUUUGCUUCUAAAUGACACAAGAGAGAAAACACUGGCUGUUGAAGACUCUUUUCAGUAUGCGCUUAUUACCAUAUUUGCAAUAUAUGGCUUCAGUUCCCUCCUGUAACUACUCACUAUGGGCUGUUUUCUCUUUGGAAUUACACUCUUGCUUAUGAAGGACAGCAAGCUGGGCUACUUGGGGUUUGUUUUGUUUUGUUUUUCAAGAAGUAACUGUAACCCAGCGCCGUGAACCAGAGGUCCAACCUAACCAUGGCUAUUAAUCAUGACCGUCCAUUAUUUACGGAGGAUUCAUUCAUUGUUCCAUAAAGGUAUCUAGAGGGUCAAUUAGAGACAACAGACAGGAUUUUUCAAAGACACAAGAGGGUCAAUUAAGCCCUCCUUGUAAUUUUCUGCUUUAACAGCAAAUGCCAGCCUAUCGUGCAACAGAUAUAGUUUCGAAAUAAACAGGAUGCUUUUUUUCUGUUUGGGAAGAAAAGGGGGGGGGGCAAGAUGUCAGUUUGCUAGUAACAUAUGGUUCACUGUCAAGCCAUAGCCAAAGCAAAAAGAGAUUUUUUAUCACUGCAACUGGCAAAGUGCAAAGUUCCUUUUAGGGUCAGUGUACCUUGGGUGAUGAGGGAAUUUCUAAGAAGGAACAUUCUGAUUCCACUUCAUAGGCACAUCAUUUGUCUCUGGAUUCUUCUUGCCUGUGGUGGCACUUCUCUACACGACCAGACUAGAGUUGCAAUACCCCAAGCACUUCUGUUGUACAACCUCCAUUUAUUUUAAUCUCGACCAUUGAAAUGAAUGAAGUGCUUAGUAAGGUUUCUUGUUUUUAUUCAAAUCUGAUUAGAAAGAAUAGAGAUUGCUACAGAUAGCAUGAUCAAGAAUCCUACACGAAGUAUUUGGCAAAGGUCCAGAGAGAGGUAGGUACAGGAGAACUAAAUGGUUAGAAGCUCUUAACAAAAUUUAGAAGAAUACUACAAGAAUACAUAUUUACAUAAUUUCCAUUCAAGUGAUGGAAUCCUGGCUCCAGAUUAAACCUAAUGACAUAAAUGGAGUUACUUUGGAGUUAGAAAAUGUUGAGAACUGAAAAAUAUUCAGGUGACAUAGAAGCAUAGAAAGCUGCCUAGUACUAGAUCACUCCACAGGUCCAUCAUGUUCAGUAUUGUUUACACUGACUGGCAGUGGCUCUCCAGGGUUUUAUGCUACCAUCCCUACCUGGAGAAGCUGAGGGCUGAACUUUGGACCUUCUGCAUGCAAAACAAAUGCUGUACUACUUAGCCACAGCCCUUGCUGAAUACCUAAGAGUUGCAUUCUUCAAUACUUAAACAACAUCUCUUAAUACCUGCCCAGGUAUUAAAAUCCUCAUCAAAGGCUCUUCUGAGAGUCAUUGCAUGCUGGGAUAGGGCCUUUUUUGUGGUGGUGCCACUCCUUUGGAACUUGCUUUCCAGGGCAGCUCAACUGGUCCUUUAUCCCUGUGGCUCACAAGUGAAGAUGUUUGUUCGCUCAGCCAGUUAUCAAGCUCACACCAGAGAGCAUGCAGACUAUUGAACAACCAGAAGGCCUUAUUUGGAUUCAGAUCCCCUUUUACAUGAGGUGUAAAAGAGCCUUUCUGUGUGCAGAUCCAGCCAAUUAUUGCGUGCUUUUUCUGGGCACUAAAGAUAGACAGCUAUUGAAACUGGCAGUUUGCCUAUAAUUUGCAGUUUCAUUGUGUACAUGUAAAUUUGUCAUGUCACUAUCUCUGUUUUUGUUACCACUUAAAAAAAGAAUAAAGUGUUAUAUUUAAAAACAGGCCAUGGAGGAAAUAUGUCAAACUUAACCUCUUAAAAGUAAGGCUAAGCAUCUUUUUCCUUCAAAAGCUGUAUUCUGUUGGAAUCUGCAACAUACCGGUAACUUCCUCAGAGUUCUGAAAUUUCCCACUGUACUCAAGCUGUUUUCUUUUCACCGUUUAAUUGUUCAUAUAGUAUAACACACUCUGCAAAGGUUUCUUUUCCCUUCAGCUUGAAAACAUGUUUUUGAUUGAACAGUGCCUCUGCUUUUGUCAUGUUUCAUUUACAAAACAUUUAAGUGGUAAGCAAUCUUUAUUGUUUAUCUUUUCCCUGUCCCCUUUUAAAAAUUAAAAACGGAAGCUUUGCAUUUCUGAUGAUUCCUCAAUGUCUCUUGUGCGAGCAAUUCUCAGAGUAAGCAUCAGUGGUUUGAUCCUUAUUGUCCUCUGAAGCCCCUUAUUCUCCGUAGUCUUUUAGCAGAAAGUUCUAACUAAUGACUUAGGGCCACACUCUGCUCUCAGAUGCUGGCUUGCAACUUGCCUAGAUUCCUAGGAGAGUUGUUUGUGCAUCUUGGAUAACAGAAUUUGGCUCCUAGUGUGUGAAAUUAUAGCAGAAAUGGACAGAAAAGCCUCUAGCACAUUCAUCUUACUGACCUCAAGCAUAAAGUGGGGGUGAGGGUGGGGGUGAAAAGGAUAUUAAUCCAGCCUCUAUGUUUUCACAUUAUUUUUAGCUUUAUGUUUCAAGGGAGAAUAUAUGUGGCAGGGAAUUCUAGUUUUGCCAUGUUUUGUGUCUUUACUUUUAAAGAGUACUAUUACUUAAAUUUUGUGAUGACGCUUCAGUAAUAUCAAAUACAUACUAUUAAUCAUCUUGAGGGCAGCAAGUUUGAGAAGGCUAUUAGAAAUGAUACCACAUACAUAGGCAGCUGCCUUAUACCAGGUCAAAAUAUUUGUCCAUCUUGUUUAAUAUUGUCCACUCUGAUGUGAUAGUGGCUUUGGAGAGUCUCAGGCACUUCUGUUGUUGUUGCAUUUAUAUCCCACAUUUCUUCCAUUUAGCUGAGGGCGCUCUUCAUGGCCCUGCUGUUCCAUAUUAUCCUCAUAACUACCCAAUGGGAUAGAUUAGUUAAGAACUGGUGGCUGUUCCCAAAACACCCAGUGAGCUUUAUAACCAAGUGGGAAUUUAAACCUAGUGUCCCAGGUCUAGUCCAACACCUAACUUCUACCUGCCAUGAUACCUAUCUGAAAGAAACACCAUCCCUGUUUUUGUUUUUCCUUUUGAAGAUGCCCUGUUAAAAUUUUGUUCAUUUGAGCUUCUACACGUUUAAGGUUUAGCUCCUCUGCUACAAGUAUUUUUUAGUAGUUAAAGGUUGGGGCAGUAGAUACAGGUUGUCUGUAGCGCAUAUUACUGUUGUAAUUAUUAUUAUUAUUUGCAUUUAAUAUUUACUUUUUAACUGAAAGGUAAUUCAUAUCAAAUUAUCGAAAAGUAGUGCAGAAAUUAAAACCAUCAUAAAACUAUACAUGCACAUGAACAGUAAGACACCACACAAUGUACAGCCUCCUAUUACACACACUGCAACCACUAUGGUAUGUUUUGAAAUUCUUACAUUAUAGAACUAUACUUUUCACACUGCAGUUUUAACAGGCUCAGCAUCCUACAUGGAACUGGUGAUGUGUACUGUUACAAUGCAUAUUGCUCAAGGAUAUGUGAAAGGCUGAAUAUAGCAAAUGUGUAUUUGUGUGCACUCAAGACAGUGAUCCUUUUUAUAAAAAUAGGGUUUGCAAGUGUGUUCUGAUUUCUAUCUAUAAAAUGUUAAAUGGUAUGAUAUUAAAAUUUAUGGCCAUGUUGUUCCUUAGUAUGUAAACUACAGAGAUGAGCAGUGUGCAUGAAGUGAUGUGGAAGCUUUUGAGGCCCACAAAACUCUUAAUCAGUCUGUGUGUAAAAAAGAAGACUAUAAGAAACUGCCUUAUGCCUGGUGAGACAAUUUAGUUCAAUAUUGUCUACUCCGAUGUCUACUCUGAAUGGCAGGAGCUCCGGGAAUUGUGUCUAAAGCCAAAAUUGUGCAUACUCAAAAUCCAUUUGAAUUAAUGGUGUGUGGGAUUGUCAGUCAUUUUCUCCAAAACUUGGCACCCUUUCCACCCCUUUUUAGCCACAUGCAUAGUAUCUGAUUACUAACUUGGAGGUUGCUGAUUUUAGCACAUGUGGCUGCAGCAUUGGUGUCCAUCACCAACUGUAGGGCUGCCAUACGUCCUUAUUUUCCAGGACACAUCCUGGAAUUCCGAAAAUGGCAUCCUGGAUUAUUUUUUGGAAUUGGGGAAAUGUCCUGGAAAACUGGCAGCAGGGUUUAAAUCAUGUUUUAAAAAGCUCCCUCCAAAACUCAGUAACUUUGGGGGUUGUCUAAAAAAGGCUAAACAAUUUUUGGUGGUUUCUUAAAAAAACAACACCUCAACAAUUUUGGGGUCAACAACUUUCAAGGUGUCCUGGUUUUUACUUUUUGAAAUAUGGCAACCCUAACCAACUGGUUCUUCACCAAUUGGGGGGGGGGGAGUUUUUUAUUCUGCUUAUAUCCCAUCCUUACUCCCAAAGGCGCUCUCUCUCAGUCGGAAAUUAUUGGACAUGACUAACUUUAGUUCAUUCAUUUUAGUUGCGUAUAGCACACUGUAUUGUUUUUUUCUUAAGCAUUGUAUCCUCCUUUGGGAUUGUCUGUUUCAAUGAACAGUGGAUAAGAAAUAUUUCAAAUAAAAAAAUAAAAAUCUUUCUAAAAGGACAUACACUGACCACAUUAUUUCUGAAAGCAUUUGGGUAAUCAGUGUGAUUACCUGGGGAAAGAAAUUGUAAUUUUAAAUUCAGAAGUAUAAUUUUAUAAAUCACUUUGGCAAUGCUUGUCUUAACUCUGUUUCACGUAGUAUAGGGAAUAACUGUCUUUAUUAUGCUUUGGCUUGGGUAUUAGGAUCUUUAACCUGCACCUAAAGCUGAGCAAAUAAUCCACAAUGAAUUAUUUAUUGUACAUAAUGAAGCUCCUGUACAUCUGCUGAGAUACAGGCACAAUGGUGGCUUCCUUAUGUAUUCAUUAUUCAGAUAUACUGCAUAAUUUUUGUAUAGCGCUAUUGAUCUCAAAUACUGGAAGAAUUGUGUUGCACCUCUUUAUAUUGAAUUUGAAAAGUUUCAUACUGGGUGAAAAAAAAAUGCAUGACUCUUGUGUUCUCUGAUAGUAGACAUGCUGGCUUGGCCCCAGGACCAUGGGUGCCCGGGGCUGUACAUACCGUGUGGGUCCGACGUCACACUCGUAUGUCAUCAGGCAUGCUGAGGUUGGAUGCACGCACUGGUGGGUGUGCUGAUGUCAGGUGUGCACACUCCUGGCGCAAACAUUUGUGGGUGCCCGGCCCCUUCAUGGGGUAUGUUCUGAGGGCUGGAGCACCCAGCCCCCCCCCCAGUGCCUAGGUCUGAAAGGAUAAUUGGCCCUCAGUGUGAGCACAACAUCCAUCACCAAUAAAAUUCUCAGUUUCAGGAUGGGUCCUUUUAAAAGAUAGGAUUAAUUUAAGAAGCCAGUGAGUGGCCCCAGAUGAAUAGAAGUUGAUCCAAAUUGGGCACAGCAGAGAGGAUCCAUCAAUCACUGCUCCUGCUACAUGAGCAUAGGUGAAAUGGGCUUCCUCCAAAUUUUGCCAUAUGGUUGUAAUUUCUUUCAUUUUAGGCCACACUUUCUCAAGCAUUUCCAGAUAAAACAUAUUACUGACUGUCUAAGUUGUGAAGCUGAAGCUUUUUGUGGCAUAGAGAGAUUCAUCAGCUCAUCUUCUAUCUAAGAAAUACAAAGUAACAAAAUAUCCCCUCCUCUCCCCCCCCCCUUUUGGUCUCGGUGUAUAAAGGGAAAAUGCACUUUCCUACAUUAAAUCCUACAUAUGGUAGCAUGUACUCAAAAAGGUUAUUAAUCUUUGUCUUAUUUUCAAACAUCACUGUACAUUAGAAUAUGCUGUAAUACUUUGGGGACAGAGCAAUUCUAAACUGUUUGUAUAUUUCUAGAGUGCCUAUUAAUGCUCAUGGCCAGAUGGUUAUAUAAUAAGACACUUGAAGUGAUCAUCAAGCCACACUUCUAAAGAACACAAAAAUCACAUGAUAAAAGCUUAGGAAAUUGUUGUGUUACUUGGUAACCUUAUUUGAUUGCCAUUCUAUCUCCUCUAGUGCCUGCAUUUAACACCUUCCUUGUUACCUUACAGUAUCCAAACUCAUACAUAGAAUAGCAAUUUGCUACAUGUGGGAUAUGCUACUGUGUUGUCUGCUGUCUUCAAAACAUUUUAUGUACUGAAAUACCAUUGAAGUAAGUGAAACCAAAUGGUGAGGGUAAGAAAUUGGAAGGUGGGAAUCUGUAAUUCUGCAGUUUGUUCUUAUUUUUAUUUUUAAAUCCCUGAGGUAAAUGCCACUGUAUUAAAUAUUGCAAUAAAAUUUGUCCCAGACCUGGCAUUCUGCUUGUGUUAAGAAGUUUUAAAGGCCACCUGUGGGCAGGACAAAAGAUCACUGGUAUUGUCAUCAUUUACAUCUGAAGGCUUCUUCUUUCUUGGCUAAGUAGGUAAACAGAUGAAUGACACCAGCACAGCUGUCAGAGAGAUGAUCCUGUGUACAGUAGUUUGACUGAUGAGACUUCCAAAUCUUGUUUACAACUUGUAACUUGGGUAGAAAUAUAUUUAUGAGAGUUAAAUUACUGUUUCUGUGCCAUUAUUCUUGGCAGCCCAUGCUCAUAUUCUGCUUUCAUUCUUAGGCAGCCAAACUACAUAGGUGGAAUCAGUUGUAAUCUAUGGUUUCAUGGGGCUUCUGAAGGGCCAUCCUGAACCUCAUGAUUGAGCCUCAAAGCAGCAUCACUGACCAGACCCAAUGGCAGAGCUUCAUGCUCCAGCACCGGGAGGCGGAGAGCAGACGGGGGUGGGGCUGGUGCGCAUCUUGGGGGUGUGGCGCCCAGCACAGGUGAGGGGGAGCCGCGAUGGCACCCUACCGGGAUUGCGCUGCCGGGGCCGGUGUGCUCCCCCCGCACUCCUCUUCCUCCACCAGUGACCAGACCCAGACCAGCUUUGCAACAAGUGGCUACAUCAUGUGCCCUCAGACUGUGUCCUAAAUCUGGCAUCAUUUACAACCAAAGAGGAGUCUCUUGAGAUGGGGAACCUGUGGACCUCCAGGUGUUGUUGAAAUCAAAGGUCCAUCAGCCCCAGCUAGCAUUCCUAUUGGCCAGGGAAGAUGGAAGCUGUAGUUCAACAAAACCUGGAAGGUGACAGAUUCCCUACCCCUGUUGUUUGAUAGGAACAGGAAAGUCUUUCCCUACUUUCCUGUGUUCAAGAAUAUACAAAUAGUGCUCUCUUCCAGCAUUGUUCAUGUGAAAGGGGCUGCAGGACUGUUUGUUUAACAAUGCACCAGAGUUGUAUGUGUUCUUCUACUCCCACUGUUUCUGUCACCAUGUUGGGCAUAACUUUUGAAGCAGAAAGCUUGUCCUAUAUAUGGAUACUCCAUGCAUAAUAUAGAACCUCAGACAGUCAGAAUUUUUUUAAAUCAAAAAUGGAACCUUUACAUGUAGAUCAGGCUCUCCACCUCACAAUCAUGUCCAUGAAGUCCCUUUGACAGUUGCUCUCUUCAUGCAGUUGAUAUCUUAAGUAGGCUUGAUGAGUGUCUUUUCAGACAUUUAGAUGAACACAUGUAGACUGGGGACCAGAACCAGUUCCCACAAUGCUACAUCCAUGAAUGUUCAUUAUUUGUGCUACAAAUAUCUCAAAAUAGAUAAAGUGUGCUUUGGGCAAUUUAGAUUUUUCAGCCACAGUCUGAAUAAUGGCUAUUCUUCUAUAUUGGGUUAAAGAGAAUGAGACUCACUUGUGAUUAUAUACUGCCAAUUUCUUUUGUAAGUAGAAUGACUAUAAAAUGAAGCAAUUUCAAUAAAACUUUUUUUUUUUGGCCAGAUUUUGAGAAUUGACACAUAAAAAGGAUUUGUUCUCCAAACUGCCUUUGAUUAAUUAUAGCUAUAGACUAGCUAUUACAAUUUUGAUUAAACUUCCAGUGAGCAGGAAAAUUAGCACUUCCUGCAAUAUCUAUAUUAUUUCAUUAGUGUGAGCUUCCUUUUUAAAAAGCACAGCUCCCCCUCCCUUCUGCUUCUUUGAGCAUCUUCAAAACUACAGAGAGAGAGAGAGAGAGAGAGAGAGAGAGAGUGUUGUAUGAACACUUGGCUAAAAGGACAUUGCUGGUUUACAAAGCCAUCAUCAAGAUAUUCAUGCCAUUGGUAAUAUUUUUGUUCUUAUCUGAAGAUUCAUAUUAGAGGAGUGCUUUGAUGAUGUUGCUCUUUACUGUGUUUGCCCACUUUAUGCAGAAGAGAUGCAUAAUGAGCAGCUUUUUCAUUAAGGAUUCUCCGUAUAAAACUCAGAGAGGUUUGCUUCUCAGAAUACAGUUCAAUGACAUUUGAUAUUUUCUGGAAAAUGCUGUGUUGGAAUGAGUGAGUUGUCCAAUAAAUUGCACUGCACUGCUCUGAGGAAGGUUCUCCGGUUUAUGGGACAGCUGAGUGCCAGUCACAUCUACCACUCAGUUUGACAGGGUGUCUUUUCAGAUGUGGGAUAAAUUUGCAGGAUUAAUCCCCUAUGUUGUACAGUUUAAUGUGAGUAGCAUUUUUCAGCUGUCCAACCUCAUUAGGGUCUGCUCAUAUUUUGUAUAAGAGUGUGAAUUCUUAUUUGUUCAGCAUAGUACCCUUCAAAUGUUUUGGACCUCAAGUUCAAUCAGUCCCUGCUGGCACACUUGUGUGAGCUGAGGCUGCUAGGCCUGGUAGUUGUUGUAGGCAAUUGAAGUAAAACCACUGUAUAAGUACGACAUGUAUCCCAAUAGUGUGCGGGUUUCAUACAAUUAAAAACUGGUUGUGAUUUGAAUCUACACUGGCAUUUCCCAUCAGCUUGCCUGACAAAUCCAUCAGUUUUGCAGAUUUGUUGUAUGGUCAGAUUGUUCAUAUGGUGAUUUCUUCAUAGAGAAAGUCACCCUUGGUGCACAUGUACUCCCAAUGGCCAGUCUGCCACGUACAUAUUCAGCAUGAGGUGGUGGAAAAUAUUGGGCCAGAAUGAAAUAAUUCACAUAUGUUAGUUGUACUUAAAUGUACAAACAAAGAGAACAUGUAAGAAGAUCUGCUAUCCAGGAGGUAACUGCUGGUGGGCAACUCCAGGUCCCCUCCUGAUCCUUCUCCUUAUGGUUCUUUAACUUUAAACUGGAGUUGUACUGGAUAACCCUUCAAAUAGAUGACUCCUGUAGAUAAAAGAUUGUCAUCUGGCAGUCCUUCGAAGAGAGGUCUGUACCUAGUGCUAGUUCCACCAUUGAUGUACCAUGAGUGAAAGUCCUCUUGUGCAAAAAAAGCCUCUGAUGUUGAUCAGAGCAGGUCUUUGUUGUUGAUCAGAAUGUAGGUACAUGUGGGAACAUGUAAUCUUCAAUGUUUGGAGGUUUAAAGGUUUUUAAUGAACUCUUUCCAAUUUUGCUGUGUAAUUCCAAAUACUUGAUGCUAAUAUUUAUGUAUUUAUGUAAUUAUUUUUAUUGCAUUGUUAAAGUAUUCACACACAGUUUCUCAGGAUCAGUUUGACAUUAUCCUUGAAGUUUUGUUUUGCUCUUUAUAAUCCUUGUAAAUAUUUUAACAUGAUUUUUGUUCUGUGUUUCUCUGAGAAAUAAUAUGAUCAAAAGCAAUAUGCUUCAGUGACCAGUAUGUAAUAUUUUCUCAUUGUCAAAUUAAGAUUCCUAGAGAUGCAAUGUUUUUAGAGGUUACAACAUGUUAAAAAUCAAUUUAAAGUGGUAUCUUUUGUAAACCUUUUUUUGUGUUGCUUUUCUGUUUGUGCUACAC